GACGAACGCUGGCGGCGUGCUUAACACAUGCAAGUCGAACGGAAAGGCCCUGCUUUUGUGGGGUGCUCGCGUGGCGAACGGGUGAGUAACACGUGAGUAACCUGCCCUUGACUUUGGGAUAACUUCAGGAAACUGGGGCUAAUACCGGCUAGGAGCUCCUGCUGCAUGGUGGGGGUUGGAAAGUUUCGGCGGUUGGGGAUGGACUCGCGGCUUAUCAGCUUGUUGGUGGGGUAGUGGCUUACCAAGGCUUUGACGGGUAGCCGGCCUGAGAGGGUGACCGGCCACAUUGGGACUGGGAUACGGCCCAGACUCCUACGGGAGGCAGCAGUGGGGAAUAUUGCACAAUGGGCGGAAGCCUGAUGCAGCAACGCCGCGUGCGGGAUGACGGCCUUCGGGUUGUAAACCGCUUUCGCCUGUGACGAAGCGUGAGUGACGGUAAUGGGUAAAGAAGCACCGGCUAACUACGUG
RNAcentral lists this ribosomal RNA (468 nucleotides) under uncultured bacterium. RNAcentral's name for it is "partial 16S ribosomal RNA". It matches the Rfam family "Bacterial small subunit ribosomal RNA", at positions 28 to 507 of the family's 1533-position model. The record is from RNAcentral.